RNAcentral lists this unclassified non-coding RNA (389 nucleotides) under Hevea brasiliensis (rubber tree). The record is from RNAcentral. Lineage: Eukaryota; Viridiplantae; Streptophyta; Magnoliopsida; Malpighiales; Euphorbiaceae.
GGAAUGUGAAAUGAAGGGAAAAAUCUUGAAGAACUUAGUUGCUUUAGGCUUGGAUUUUCUCUCUAAAAUUGCAGACAAGCUAAGAGUUUGACAUCAAUUUAGCGUUUGGCUGGAUUUUAUUUUUAGUUUUAUAGCUGUACCAAUGGCUUGUCUGUGUGAACAGAUCCAACUUUGGAUUGUAUAAGCCAACAAGCCAUUGGAUGUCAAAAGAAAGUUGAAUAUGACGUGAUAACAAGUAAAAGUGUUGGUUUUCCUUGCACAUUUCUCAAUGUGACCUUUAUUCUGUAUAACCCAGGUUAAGAUUCACAACACUUGAUCUUUUGCAAUUCCUUUCCCAGUUUCCCAAUGUGCUGCUUAUUUUGUUGUGACAUCAGAACUUCGGGCAAAAU